UGAAUUCAAAGGACGACACUAGCUAC
Molecule: non-coding RNA, 26 nt
Filed under: Rattus norvegicus (Norway rat)
Lineage: Eukaryota; Metazoa; Chordata; Mammalia; Rodentia; Muridae
Source: RNAcentral